This 108-nucleotide ribosomal RNA is filed under the name Thrips florum. RNAcentral's name for it is "partial 18S ribosomal RNA". It matches the Rfam family "Eukaryotic small subunit ribosomal RNA", at positions 1727 to 1831 of the family's 1831-position model. The record is from RNAcentral. Lineage: Eukaryota; Metazoa; Arthropoda; Insecta; Thysanoptera; Thripidae.
CUCUUUCGGGAGCGCUGAUGUCGUCGGAAAGAUGACCAAACUUGAAUAUUUAGAGGAAGUAAAAGUCGUAACAAGGUUGCUGUAGGUGAACCUGCAGCAGGAUCAUUA